AGAGCCGAGUGAGGUUCCGUUCCAUCGAGGUUCCGGUCCGCAGUCCCAUUAUUACAUCAAAAAUCAAAAUUGAAAAGACUAACUAAGCCUAUCAGCUAUGAGUUACAAAAUUCCUAUCUAUGAGUCUUCUGAAGCUUGAUCUUGAGUCUUGACAGGUUUUUCCUGCAGACUUUGAUCUGAAUCUUGAUGCUCGUUAGCUGCGAACGCUGGUUCAUUUUUCUUCAGUUCGGAUCAAGGCGGGACAUGCAAAGCUUGUGACUUCAAUCAUAUCUUGAGCAGUCCGCAUCUUUUCUCCGCUUCUGCACUUAGAGUUCACAUUUUUUCUUGUUCUUCUUUUCUUUUAUUCUGGAUUGAGACUUCUUCUUUUGGUCGUCUCGAAUCCUGUGUCUCGAGGUAUAACCUACUCAAACAGCAAAACAAACAAACAAACAAAAUUUUUCUGCCUCAGUUUUUACUAGGAAGAUUUCGUGAGUUAUUGUAACAAAAUCUAAACUAUUUCUUUCUUGAAAACAAUAAAUCGGGAUUGUGUAUCCGUGAGAAAUAGAGAUUAAAGAGUGGAGACCCUAUAUCUAAAAUGAAAUCAAAUGAGGAUCGGAGGCUCCAAGUUGGGAAGAUUACCAGGUUAUGUUGGAAAAAUGACCGUGUUAUGCCGGAAAAGGUUCUCGGGUUAUGCUGGAGAGGUCAUCGGGUUAUGCCGGAAAAAGGUCCUCGGGUUAUACCGGGGAGGUCCACAGGUUAUGCUGGAAAAGUCAUCGGGUUAUGCUGGAAAAAGGUCCUCGAGUUAUGCCGAGAAAGUCAUCGGGUUAUGCCGGAAAAAGGUCCUCGAGUUAUGCCGGAAAAGGUUUUCGGGUUAUGCCAGAAAAAGUCCCCGGAUUAUGCCGGGGAUCAACUAGGGAGUGUAACCCUAUACUGGAAAAGACUACCAGGUUAUGCUGGCAGUGACUAGGGAAUGGGACCAUAUAUUGGAAAAACGUAGCAAGAGAUCGGGGACCCCAGACUACCAUGAUUUUGAAUUUUCUUCUUCUUUCUUUUCAUUUCAAUUUUUUUUUAAGAAAAUGAGUAAAAAUACAGGAAAGAAUUUGGAGGAGACUUCCCUUUUGGAUUGAUUAUUGCUGCAAAGCUUAGCCCUUGCGCAGUUUCUUUUGGUUGCACCUGCUUCUUGCAAGGUUGCUUUGGAUUGCACUUGUUUCCUGUUUUACAAACAAAGAACAAUUGUUAGUUUGAAACGGUGGUUGGUUUUGUGGCCUUGAGCGUUUCAGUCACUUGAUCUCGGCCCGACUUCUUUGAUAAAGAUUUCAACUGCAACUGCUUGUUCCUUGAGGACCGAUUUCAUUUCUGACCCUGGAGAACCUCUAGCUUUUCCAGACUUUGCCAUGACGGUUGGUCAUGUGGAACUCAACCUUCUCGACUUUAUUUUGCCUUUGUAGGCCUUUCACUUCUGACUGCUUGUUUUUCUUCUUCUUCUUUUUUUCUUUUUUCUUUUCAAUUCUUAACUUCGGAGCAUUGGGAAAUAUUUUGGCUCCUUAAACUUGCUGCAACGGCUAGUCGUGUGGGACUUAACAUUUUCCAACUUUAUUUCGCCUUCGUAGGCCUUUUAUUUCUUGCUUCUUUCUUCCAACUUUAGCUUCAGAGCAUUUGGGACCCCUUGACUUUUCAAAUCUUUGCCGAGACGGUUAGCCACAUGGGACUUAACCUUUUCAACUUUAUUUUUGCCUUUGUGGGCAUUUGAAUUUGAUUUCCUUUCUUUUUAGGAGUUUUUUUAUUUCAAAGCAUCAGCCAUCAUUGCCAGUCGAAGUUGACUCGAUGCACCUGCUGAGGCUGGGUAUCUUCUUGAAUAUUGGCUCGUAUCAAACAAAAGCCCAGUAAAUCAAUCUUGCCAUCCUUUCUUUGCCUCAGUUUUGGAACAAAGUUAGACGGAAAGAGAUUCAAAAAAAAACAAACAAUGUAAUGGAGAAUGAAUUUAAAACAAGAAGUGUCCCUUUCGGGGAAAGGAAAGAAGGACUUAUCUGGAGUACAUGCAGACUUCAAUGAACAUGACAUGCCUUUUGGACUGGAUGCUUGAUCUGUGUAAACUGUCUGACUCUCAAAAAUUCAUCACAACUUUUGCCUCAAAAAUAGAGAAACCUUGCCAGGACUCUGUCGAUGCCGAUGGCUGUGAGGAUGCUCUUUUCGAUCAGAGGCGCUCUUUGCCGGUUUUCACGAGUUGACCUCUCUCAUUUCUCUUCUCACCAUCUCCUUAUAGUGCUCUUUGUGAGUUUUCACUAACAAGAUUCUCUCAUUUUUAAUUUCUCUGCUUACCAUCGCCUUAUAGUGCCCGUGUGGGUUUUCACCAAUAAGUCUCUCUCAUUUUGUUACAUUGGAUCCAAGUAGUUGCAUUCUCCAAUCCUUGGACAUUCUCACCGAUUGAUAGGAAGGACUUGAAAGGAUUCGGUAAAAAUAAUUUGGACAGAAUUACAACUUUGGAACCAUUUAGGCGGGAUCAUCGCUGAACCAUUAUAACAUCUGCCCCAGUUUCACUUUUGGGGGAAUUCAGAUUUAUAUUUUGGUGUGACUGAACCCCAAAGAGAGGCUGCAUACGUAUCCUUUCGGAAUCAAGUCGAAUGUAGUUCAUGGAACUUUGUUUUUGAUUUUCUUUUGUUUUCCUAUUUUGUUUUGUUUUCCCUUUCUUUUUCCUCUUUUUCCGUUUUUUAUUUCAUUUUCUUGUCUUUUCUUCCCUUUUUUUGUAUUUUUCUUUUUCUUCUCUUUUCAUUUUUUUUUUCAUUUUUCAUUCAUCAUUUUUUCAAUAAUAACUUCCAAGUUCCAAAGAGGGUAAUCAAAUAAUUGAAGCCGGCUCAAAGGGUUUGCAAUUGGUUGAAUAUUUAGAUAGUGAGAAAGAAAGUCUUCUUCAUCCCAAUCGGAGAACAUUAAUGCUAUAUAGAUGGUCCAACAUAGUACCUUUUGACUGCAUUUGGAUUGACAAUUGUUUCAGGGAUAUUUCCUUCGAUGUGUCCCAAGUACAAUACACUUUUUUGGCAGUACUCUUAUUGCAAUGUGUGGACCUUUCCAAUCUUGGAACCAAUUUUCCUUCAGCUGUUCCAACUCUUUGUUUUAUUUUCUCAAACUUAUCUUCUUUGCAUUUUGACUCUUGAUUAAUUAUUUCGAAGUCUGACAGUGUUUUAGGAUCUGGGCAUGAAGUCCGCAAGCAUGCCAUGUUAUUGAAAUCUGCAUUUAACAGAACUAAAAAGAGAAUAAGAAAAGUGAAAUUAAGAAAAGAGACAUUCCUGGACAAUGAAAUAUUAAUUUCAUUUGAUUUUUGAUUUUUUUCCAAUUUUUGAAGAUAGAAGGGUUUACAUCGGAAAGUAAGACAAUAAAGUAAAACAUCCGGAUCACACCCUAAGAUAAUCCGGACGCAAAAAGGAUAGCAAGACUGGCUACCGAGACUCCCGUCUGAUGGAGAACUUUUAGGCUUGGCGACCGUUUUUGGCUUUUCUUCUAUCUCGGCAAUGGCUGCAAUGGCCUUCAAUGCCGGAUCAAAUUUCUCAUCUUCAAAAAUCAUUCCGACUAUUGGCCCCCUGUUGUGGGAAGGCAACAAAUUGUUCAUCACAUCAAGAGUUUCUUCAUCCUGAAAAACAAUUCUUUCGGCUUCAAUCAAAUCUUCAACUGCCUUUUGAGGGUCCAACAGUCCUCUGUACUAUAUCUACUUCCCCAGAGUGGUAUUCACAUCUAGCAUCACCUCAGUGCGAGCGGGACCCGAGGUUCGGCNNNNNNNNNNNNNNNNNNNNNNNNNGACUUUCUUGGGCGAGGAUUGUACUGGGGAACAUUUGGUUGGAGAUUUAGAUGUGCAUUUAUGGGAGGUGGAGCUCGGUUUUGUGUAUGAUGUUGUGGACGUAUGUAAGGUUGCGCGUUUAUCCCCGCAUAAGGAGGUGGUGCCACGACAUAAGCAACAUCUUGAAGGGGAUAAUAAUGUUGAGGGACCUCAGGAAGCAUAUAUGAUUGGCUGAAUGACAUGCGGGCCCCCUCGAGCUGGAAGCCAUCAUGGCUCCUUCUUCUCUCUCGUUUCCAUUUAUCAAACCCUCUGAACUAUUUUGAACAUCUAGUGAUAUGGCUUUAAAAUUAGCAUGACUCAAGAUUCGACCCGUUUUUAGCCCACUUUCUACCAUCUCCCCAAUUUUGAUAGCCUCAGCAAACGGCUUUCCAUAGCAUAUAUCAUGUUCUGAAAGUAGUCCGCCUAUUGGGCAUGUAGAAAGACCGUGACCAUUUCAAUUUCGUCCAUUGGAUGCUUUACCAUGGCAGCUUGCUCACUCCAUUUGACAGCAUAUUCACGGAAGCUUUUCGCAGUUUUCUUUUUCAAAUUAGACAAAGAGUUUCUGUCGGGAGCGAUGUCCACAUUAUAUUGGAACUGGCGGAUAAAAUCUCGAGCCAUAUCAUCCCACACAUUAAAAUGGAUAAUUUCUUGAUCCGUAUACCACUCAGAAGCGAUCCCGGUGAGGCUUUCCCCAAAAUAGGCCGUUAGUAGCUCGUCUUUUCCACUAGCGCCUCUCAAUUGGUUACAAUAUUGUUUCAGGUGAGCGACCGGGUCUCCAUACCCGUCGUACUUUUCAAAUUUUGGCAUCUUGAAACCAGCUGACAAGUGAACAUGGGGAAACAUACAGAGGUCAGAGUAUGAAACACUCUUUUGGCCACUCAGACCUUGCAUGUUUUUCAGGCUUUAUUCCAGGCUCUUCAUCUUCCGAGCCAUUUCCUCUUGCUCAGGAUUUUUAACAACCUUUUCUUGUUCCACCGAGAGAUCAUAUUGCGGAGGUUGAGUGAAAGAGUACGGGGUCACAUAUAUUAUUUUUGGUUGAAGUUGUGGACCCUGAAAGAUGAACAUUGGAGGCAGUGUUCUUGAAGCCGGUGCCUGGGGGCGAACCACAGAAGGCAUGCCAGGAACAUUGGACAACAUUGGAGGGUGCCCGCAUGGGAUGAGCGGAUUGGGCAUAGGGGCGUUGGUAACCUCACAUGAACUGGGGAUCAACUCAGGGAACCUGGGGAUUGCACUUGGCGGUUCCCUACCAUCAGACCAGGCGUCCCACAUUUCUAAUAUGUGGAGACACAACAUCCUAUUCUCUUCAGUAGUUGCUGAUUCUAGCUGCAGAAUAGCCGAUACCGGGCUAUCCUCACGACCGAUGAUUGGUAGAUUGCUUGCAGAGGCCAUCUGUGCCUUUGGAUCUGGUGAAGGAAGGGAGGCUAGACUACCAACAAAACCAACCACCAAAACCUGGCUAGUUAUGCACACCCAACAACCUUGUUAAUUUUGAGACGCUUAACAGAUAGGAAAUCACACGUUUGGAUGCAAUGCACCUAAACAGUUAAACGUUUCUACCAUGUAUUUGAACGGUUGCAUGUUUCAUCUCGGCCUUAACUAACCCUUUCAAUAUGUACCUCUUUUCUUUUAUUUCUGCCUCUCUUUAAUCACUUUUUUUCAUUUCAUUUCUGCCGCUCUUUUAUUUUUGGCACUCUUUUUUUGUCACUCUUUUUUUUGUCACUCUUUUUUUUUUCACUCAAUUUUUCUUCCUCUUAUUUUUUUUAGUUUAUUUUCCACUCAGUUAAUUUUAUGGCUAUGAUCGAAUUCGAUGGGAAUUGCCUACGUAUCAUGACGGCGCAUGAAUCAGAUCUUGCGUAGUUAAGGAAGAUCGAGAAUGGAGUAAAUAAGCUAACUCUUUUUUUUACUUUUUAUAAAACUCAGACCAUGAAAGCUUUGAGGUAAAAGAAAAAUAUUUUUUUAAUUGUUUUUUUUUGAAUUUUCGAAAGAAAUGCUUUAAAAGAAGAAAGGAAAUAUUUUUUUUGGAUUUUUGAUUUUGACUCCUUUAUUUCUUUUUGAAAGAAAGAAUUCUGAAAAUUCCUUUUCUUUUGAAUUUGAACUUUGGGAAUUUCAAAAGUAAAAGGAAAAUAUUUUCGUUUGAAUUUUUAUUUAUUUUCUCUUAUUCUAAAGAAGAAAGAAAAUAUUUUUUUGGAUUUUGGGUGAUGCCUCUUACUUUUCGAAAGAAGGACUUUCAAGAAAAUAUUUUGGAUUUCUGAGUUUUUUUUUGUUUUUUAAAGUUACAAAAGUACUUAUAAAGAAAAAUUUAAAUAUUUUUGGACUUCAAUUUUUUUUUUAAAUUUUUUUUUGAAAGAAAGACUUUUAAACAAGGAAAAGAGUUUUUUUUUUAAUUCUUUUUUUUUUCUGAUUUUUUGUUGAAUUUAUGGGAAAAGACUUCUUAAAAAGGUAGAAAAAAUAUUUUCUUUUAGAUUUUGAUUUGACUUGUAGAUUUUCGAAAGUAAGACCUUUAAGAAAAUAUUUCGGAUUUCUGAGUUUCUCUUUUUUUUUUUAAAAUUUACGAAAGUACUUUUAAAGAAAAGUGAAAAUAUUUUUUGGACUUUUAUUUCUCAAUUUUUAUGGAUAUUUACAAAAGAAAAACUUCUAAAGAAUAAAAGAAUAUUUUUUGGAUUUUUGUUUCUGAUUGAAUUUUGGAUUUUUUGGGAAAAAUACUUCAAAAUGAAGGAAGCCCGUAUUUUGGAUUUUUUUUGAUUUUGUUUUUUGAUUUUAUUUUUCCGUAUGAUAGACUUCAGAAAGAAAGAAACCACUUUUUUGAGUUAAAAAAGAACUUUUUUUUUGAAUUUUCUAAGGAAAGAUUUCUAAAGAAGGAACUAAAGGAAAAUAUUUUUGGAUUUUUGAAAAUUGGGGCCAAAACCAAUUAGGUUUGCCUACGUAUCUCACAUCCGGUGUGAAUCAGACCCGCAUAGUUAGGUCAGUUUUAACGGAAUAGGGGAAACAUGGCACUUGAAAAUUUUGGCUCAUUUUGAAAUGACUUUUCUUUUCUUUUAUUUUUUCCGAAUUUCGGCAGAGUUUCAAGAUUUUUUCAAAUACUUGGGGUUUUCAGAACUUGGUGAAUUUUCUCUUUCCUAGCUCACUCUGGUUUUUCUCUUGAUUUUCUUUUCUUAGCCGGUCAACAUGCAAGCCGAAACAAACAGAUGCGCAAGGAGCACGUAAGAUGCAUCAGGAUGGUCUUUUUUUAAUUUGGGUACACCUGUCCUAGACGAACCCAACCCCUGUGUUGAGUCCCCAAAGUCAGAUGUACGUGAUGCAAACAAACGUACCUACUAGGGAUCCAGCAUGAUGCUAUGUUAUUCUAGGUUAAAAAACUUGGGGUUGUGUUCUUGACCUGGCUUACCCGAGCGGACAACUCGAGCUAAAGAGGGGGCAACGUACCGGGAGCACGAAAGUCUACCCGGCCUUGUUGCUGGCCCAGCCUCGUUCUAUUUGGUAUGACUUCUAACAGAAAAAGUGGGCCACACAAAUGUGUGCACCGUGUGAACCUGGGGUUGUGUUUUUAAGGAGACAGUUUAAUACAGUUCAAGUAAUAUGAAGCGGUAAAUAAACAACAAUUAACACAUUAGAUACACAAAAUACAAUAGUAUCAACAAUAAAUAAAACCAAAUAAAAAUCACAUUAACAAGCUCGAAUUCUUAAACCCUGAACCAGAAGUUCUGGGUUCUUAACCUCAGCAGAAUCGCCAGAGCUGUCACACCUCCUCUUUUCCACCCGAGGGGGAUACAUAAGAGAGUUUUUCCAAUUAAAGUGACAUUAUUCGAAAUAAGAUUAUUUUAUUUAUUUUUUAGAGUCGCCACUUGGAAUAGUUUAUGGUGUCCCAAGUCACCGGUUUAUUUUUCUAAUCCCAAAUCGAGGAAAUUUUCGACUUUAUUUAAAAGUCUGCGAACCAGAAAUUCUAGAUAAGGAAUUCUGUUAACCCGAAAGAAGGUGUUAGGCAUUCCCGGAUUCUAUGGCUCUAGCACGGUCACUUAGCAAUUUAUACUUGGCUUAAGUUGUUUAAUUACUUAUUUUAGAACCUAUGUUCAUUUACCUUUUACCGAAUUUAAUUGCUUAAUUAUUCGUAAUUAAAGAAUUGAGUCACGCGUACGUGUACUCAUUUCGUUUGGCGCAUCAAAUAUCAUGUCACGCGUACGUGUCCACAAUUAAUCACACUUUAUUAAUUAUUAAGAAAGUUUGGCCGAAGUUGCGCGGACACAUACCUCGAUUUAUUUUUAGAACGAAAUUCAUAAUUAUGUUACGCGAACGUAUACAUAAUCACGAUAAUAAAUUUAAAACGCGUCUAAAGUGUACUAAUCAUAGUCAUAAUUCUUUCUAAACUUUGAGAUUAUUGCGAUGCCAAAUUUAUGAACAAGAUAUUAAUGGGGUAAAUAGGCUAUCUAACGUGAUCUAUUACUUGGCCAGAUUCCUUAUGGUCCAAAACCCACCUUAUGGCCCAUUCUUAUUCCUUGCCAAGAAAGAAACAACUCCAAUUUUUCCAUCUACCUAAUUGAAAGCAUUUAUUCAAGAACCAAGACUACAUACAUCACAAUCGAAAUAAAAAAACUAAUUAAGACAAUUUAAAUGAAAACUAAUACAUAUUAGUCAAACAACGUAGAAUCACAAAUCAACCAACACGCACACCAAGCUAUCAUAACACAAUGAAAUGAGAGUGAAAAUUGAGAAAUAGACCUUUAUUGAUGGACAAAGCUGAAAAUUGCAAAUCAAUCGGGUUAAACAAAGCAACAAUCCUUGGACCGUAACACCGAAAUUAUAAACCAGAACCUCGGAUUGACACUAGCAUACCCGAAACCCAAAUCAAUCCCAAUCAAACGGUAAAUUAAAACCUUCGGUCAAAUCAGAUCCUUGAAAAAUGAUAAAGCUACAACGAAGAAGAGGACGAAGGGAAUCUUAAACUCAGCAAACGGACGAAAUCGACGACGGAGAAACUCGAACCAAUUCCAUUCUGCCUUUCCUCAUUUUCAAAUGGACGAACCAAAUGUCCAGCUUUAUUAUCAAUUGCCAAAACAGGAACCUUGAAUCAAGUUCAAGCUUUUCCCUUUUUGUACUUUUUUGUUACGGCUGGUUUGGAUUUUUCUCUUUUUUUUUGUCUAGGAAUCCUUCUUAGCUAGCUCUUAGCUCUUUGGGAAUGGGGAUGUCCGCCGUUUAUUUUUUUUGGGGUCUAGUUCCU
Molecule: long non-coding RNA, 8996 nt
Filed under: Nicotiana tabacum (common tobacco)
Lineage: Eukaryota; Viridiplantae; Streptophyta; Magnoliopsida; Solanales; Solanaceae
Description: long non-coding RNA (NTAB_LNC019198)
Source: RNAcentral